Long non-coding RNA from Myotis lucifugus (little brown bat), 605 nucleotides. RefSeq lists it as uncharacterized. The record is from RefSeq and is a predicted model, not a curated record. Lineage: Eukaryota; Metazoa; Chordata; Mammalia; Chiroptera; Vespertilionidae. The transcript has 4 exons.
CGAAAAAUGGCUGCCAGGGCCCCACCCUGAGGACUCUGAGUCCAGGGGGUGAGGACCCAGGAGAGUGCAUUUGCAGAAGCUCCCUCCCCCUCCAGUGACUGGUGCACGGAGUUAGGCGCAGCCCUGGUACACGGGACUCAAACAGGAUUUGUGUACCAGAAAGAACCCAAAACUCCAGAGAUUGAUCCUGGAACCAUAAUUUCCUGAAAUGUUCAAGGAAGAAUAAAGAAAACCCUCAUCAUGGCCACACUGAGUCAGAGAUCUAUGAGAAAAUGAGGCCUAAAAAGUAAAAGGCUAAAUCCUUAAUUGCCCCCCAGGAGAAGUUGGAAAACCUCAGGAUGGUCUAGAGCCCCACAGAGUCAUGGAGAUGCUCAAGGGAACAUCUCAGGGCUCUUUCCAUCUGGGUUCUUGGUUGAAAUGGCUUGUCAUAGACCCUGUACCCUGCUGGAACCUGUGUGUUGUAUGUCGUCUAGGAUGGCCCGGGCUGCAAAGGAAUCCAGGACCAGCAGCUUCCAAAGCUCUCCACGAUGUUGUCUUCUUUGCUGGGUACCUGAGGGGAUGGCCAGCUGCUGCUGCUGUUUGCCUUCCCAGAUGUCUGGCUGGCU